GAUGAACGCUGGCGGCGUGCCUAACACAUGCAAGUCGAACGAAGAGGCUCCUUCGGGAGUACUUCAGUGGCGGACGGGUGAGUAACACGUAGGUGACCUGCCCCGAAGCAGGGGAUAACGGCUCGAAAGGGCCGCUAAUACCCAAAAGGAUCGCGAGUCGCAUCGCGAUCAGAGUUACGGCGUUUCGGGAGGGGCCUGCGGCCCAUCAGCUUGUUGGUAGGGUAAUGGCCUACCAAGGCGACGACGGGUAGGGGGCCUGAGAGGGUGAUCCCCCACAUUGGCACUGACACACGGGCCAAACUCCUACGGGUGGCAG
This 316-nucleotide ribosomal RNA is filed under the name uncultured Chloroflexota bacterium. RNAcentral describes it as "bacterial SSU rRNA". It matches the Rfam family "Bacterial small subunit ribosomal RNA", at positions 28 to 351 of the family's 1533-position model. Lineage: Bacteria; Bacillati; Chloroflexota. The record is from RNAcentral.